GUCUACACCCAUGCUACGCCCUGCUCAGAGGCUAAGCAGGGUCGGACCUGGUUAGUACUUGGAUGGGAGACCACCUAGGAAGACCAGGUGCUGAAGAGG
Molecule: ribosomal RNA, 99 nt
Filed under: Pteropus alecto (black flying fox)
Lineage: Eukaryota; Metazoa; Chordata; Mammalia; Chiroptera; Pteropodidae
Source: RNAcentral